Molecule: ribosomal RNA, 530 nt
Filed under: Hansenula anomala
Lineage: Eukaryota; Fungi; Ascomycota; Saccharomycetes; Phaffomycetales; Wickerhamomycetaceae
Description: Wickerhamomyces anomalus partial large subunit ribosomal RNA
Rfam family: Eukaryotic large subunit ribosomal RNA
Source: RNAcentral
AGCGGCAAAAGCUCAAAUUUGAAAUCUAGCACCUUCGGUGUUCGAGUUGUAAUUUGAAGAUGGUAACCUUGGGUUUGGCUCUUGUCUAUGUUCCUUGGAACAGGACGUCAUAGAGGGUGAGAAUCCCGUCUGAUGAGAUGCCCAUUCCUAUGUAAGGUGCUAUCGAAGAGUCGAGUUGUUUGGGAAUGCAGCUCUAAGUGGGUGGUAAAUUCCAUCUAAAGCUAAAUAUUGGCGAGAGACCGAUAGCGAACAAGUACAGUGAUGGAAAGAUGAAAAGAACUUUGAAAAGAGAGUGAAAAAGUACGUGAAAUUGUUGAAAGGGAAGGGCAUUAGAUCAGACUUGGUGUUUUACGAUUAUCUUCUCUUCUUGAGUUGUGCACUCGUAUUUCACUGGGCCAGCAUCGAUUCGGAUGGCAAGAUAAUGGCAGUUGAAUGUGGCUUCACUUCGGUGGAGUGUUAUAGCUUCUGCUGAUAUUGCCUGUCUGGAUCGAGGGCUGCGUCUUUUGACUAGGAUGCUGGCGUAAUGAUCU